This 2925-nucleotide ribosomal RNA is filed under the name Escherichia coli. Its description in RNAcentral is "bacterial LSU rRNA". It matches the Rfam family "Bacterial large subunit ribosomal RNA". Lineage: Bacteria; Pseudomonadati; Pseudomonadota; Gammaproteobacteria; Enterobacterales; Enterobacteriaceae. The record is from RNAcentral.
GGGUUGUGAGGUUAAGCGACUAAGCGUACACGGUGGAUGCCCUGGCAGUCAGAGGCGAUGAAGGACGUGCUAAUCUGCGAUAAGCGUCGGUAAGGUGAUAUGAACCGUUAUAACCGGCGAUUUCCGAAUGGGGAAACCCAGUGUGAUUCGUCACACUAUCAUUAACUGAAUCCAUAGGUUAAUGAGGCGAACCGGGGGAACUGAAACAUCUAAGUACCCCGAGGAAAAGAAAUCAACCGAGAUUCCCCCAGUAGCGGCGAGCGAACGGGGAGGAGCCCAGAGCCUGAAUCAGUGUGUGUGUUAGUGGAAGCGUCUGGAAAGGCGCGCGAUACAGGGUGACAGCCCCGUACACAAAAAUGCACAUACUGUGAGCUCGAUGAGUAGGGCGGGACACGUGGUAUCCUGUCUGAAUAUGGGGGGACCAUCCUCCAAGGCUAAAUACUCCUGACUGACCGAUAGUGAACCAGUACCGUGAGGGAAAGGCGAAAAGAACCCCGGCGAGGGGAGUGAAAAAGAACCUGAAACCGUGUACGUACAAGCAGUGGGAGCCUCUUUAUGGGGUGACUGCGUACCUUUUGUAUAAUGGGUCAGCGACUUAUAUUCUGUAGCAAGGUUAACCGAAUAGGGGAGCCGAAGGGAAACCGAGUCUUAACUGGGCGUUAAGUUGCAGGGUAUAGACCCGAAACCCGGUGAUCUAGCCAUGGGCAGGUUGAAGGUUGGGUAACACUAACUGGAGGACCGAACCGACUAAUGUUGAAAAAUUAGCGGAUGACUUGUGGCUGGGGGUGAAAGGCCAAUCAAACCGGGAGAUAGCUGGUUCUCCCCGAAAGCUAUUUAGGUAGCGCCUCGUGAAUUCAUCUCCGGGGGUAGAGCACUGUUUCGGCAAGGGGGUCAUCCCGACUUACCAACCCGAUGCAAACUGCGAAUACCGGAGAAUGUUAUCACGGGAGACACACGGCGGGUGCUAACGUCCGUCGUGAAGAGGGAAACAACCCAGACCGCCAGCUAAGGUCCCAAAGUCAUGGUUAAGUGGGAAACGAUGUGGGAAGGCCCAGACAGCCAGGAUGUUGGCUUAGAAGCAGCCAUCAUUUAAAGAAAGCGUAAUAGCUCACUGGUCGAGUCGGCCUGCGCGGAAGAUGUAACGGGGCUAAACCAUGCACCGAAGCUGCGGCAGCGACACUAUGUGUUGUUGGGUAGGGGAGCGUUCUGUAAGCCUGCGAAGGUGGCCUGUGAGGGUUGCUGGAGGUAUCAGAAGUGCGAAUGCUGACAUAAGUAACGAUAAAGCGGGUGAAAAGCCCGCUCGCCGGAAGACCAAGGGUUCCUGUCCAACGUUAAUCGGGGCAGGGUGAGUCGACCCCUAAGGCGAGGCCGAAAGGCGUAGUCGAUGGGAAACAGGUUAAUAUUCCUGUACUUGGUGUUACUGCGAAGGGGGGACGGAGAAGGCUAUGUUGGCCGGGCGACGGUUGUCCCGGUUUAAGCGUGUAGGCUGAUUUUCCAGGCAAAUCCGGAAAAUCAAGGCUGAGGCGUGAUGACGAGGCACUACGGUGCUGAAGCAACAAAUGCCCUGCUUCCAGGAAAAGCCUCUAAGCAUCAGGUAACAUCAAAUCGUACCCCAAACCGACACAGGUGGUCAGGUAGAGAAUACCAAGGCGCUUGAGAGAACUCGGGUGAAGGAACUAGGCAAAAUGGUGCCGUAACUUCGGGAGAAGGCACGCUGAUAUGUAGGUGAAGUCCCUCGCGGAUGGAGCUGAAAUCAGUCGAAGAUACCAGCUGGCUGCAACUGUUUAUUAAAAACACAGCACUGUGCAAACACGAAAGUGGACGUAUACGGUGUGACGCCUGCCCGGUGCCGGAAGGUUAAUUGAUGGGGUUAGCGGUAACGCGAAGCUCUUGAUCGAAGCCCCGGUAAACGGCGGCCGUAACUAUAACGGUCCUAAGGUAGCGAAAUUCCUUGUCGGGUAAGUUCCGACCUGCACGAAUGGCGUAAUGAUGGCCAGGCUGUCUCCACCCGAGACUCAGUGAAAUUGAACUCGCUGUGAAGAUGCAGUGUACCCGCGGCAAGACGGAAAGACCCCGUGAACCUUUACUAUAGCUUGACACUGAACAUUGAGCCUUGAUGUGUAGGAUAGGUGGGAGGCUUUGAAGUGUGGACGCCAGUCUGCAUGGAGCCGACCUUGAAAUACCACCCUUUAAUGUUUGAUGUUCUAACGUUGGCCCCUGAUCGGGGUUGCGGACAGUGUCUGGUGGGUAGUUUGACUGGGGCGGUCUCCUCCUAAAGAGUAACGGAGGAGCACGAAGGUUGGCUAAUCCUGGUCGGACAUCAGGAGGUUAGUGCAAUGGCAUAAGCCAGCUUGACUGCGAGCGUGACGGCGCGAGCAGGUGCGAAAGCAGGUCAUAGUGAUCCGGUGGUUCUGAAUGGAAGGGCCAUCGCUCAACGGAUAAAAGGUACUCCGGGGAUAACAGGCUGAUACCGCCCAAGAGUUCAUAUCGACGGCGGUGUUUGGCACCUCGAUGUCGGCUCAUCACAUCCUGGGGCUGAAGUAGGUCCCAAGGGUAUGGCUGUUCGCCAUUUAAAGUGGUACGCGAGCUGGGUUUAGAACGUCGUGAGACAGUUCGGUCCCUAUCUGCCGUGGGCGCUGGAGAACUGAGGGGGGCUGCUCCUAGUACGAGAGGACCGGAGUGGACGCAUCACUGGUGUUCGGGUUGUCAUGCCAAUGGCACUGCCCGGUAGCUAAAUGCGGAAGAGAUAAGUGCUGAAAGCAUCUAAGCACGAAACUUGCCCCGAGAUGAGUUCUCCCUGACUCCUUGAGAGUCCUGAAGGAACGUUGAAGACGACGACGUUGAUAGGCCGGGUGUGUAAGCGCAGCGAUGCGUUGAGCUAACCGGUACUAAUGAACCGUGAGGCUUAACCUUACAACGCCGAAG